This 77-nucleotide transfer RNA is filed under the name Alphaproteobacteria bacterium. Its description in RNAcentral is "tRNA-Arg". It matches the Rfam family "tRNA". From Rfam's summary of the family: Transfer RNA (tRNA) molecules are approximately 80 nucleotides in length. Their secondary structure includes four short double-helical elements and three loops (D, anti-codon, and T loops). Further hydrogen bonds mediate the characteristic L-shaped molecular structure. tRNAs have two regions of fundamental functional importance: the anti-codon, which is responsible for specific mRNA codon recognition, and the 3' end, to which the tRNAs corresponding amino acid is attached (by aminoacyl-tRNA synthetases). tRNAs cope with the degeneracy of the genetic code in two manners: having more than one tRNA (with a specific anti-codon) for a particular amino acid; and 'wobble' base-pairing, i.e. permitting non-standard base-pairing at the 3rd anti-codon position. Lineage: Bacteria; Pseudomonadati; Pseudomonadota; Alphaproteobacteria. The record is from RNAcentral.
GCACUCGUAGCUCAAUUGGAUAGAGCACUUGACUACGGAUCAAGAGGUUGAGGGUUCGAAUCCUUCCGAGUGCGCCA